Molecule: long non-coding RNA, 343 nt
Filed under: Musa acuminata (dwarf banana)
Lineage: Eukaryota; Viridiplantae; Streptophyta; Magnoliopsida; Zingiberales; Musaceae
Description: long non-coding RNA (MACU_LNC001936)
Source: RNAcentral
GAGAAUUGGGAUGGAUCUCUGGUCAUAUGCCUUGAGCAUCCACUAUCAAGAUACCAUCUCUUGCUCCUAGCAUGUGAUGGUGUAUGUUUCUACAAGAGGGAAUUAUUUUUAGGUACCCAUUUACUUUUGGGUGCCUCAAAAACUAAUCUAACUUGUUUAUCAUGUUGCAUAGACUUGAUCAUGGUUCCUUUAGGAACCCAAAUCAAUUUGUUCGGACUAAUUUUCUUGAAUGGACAUUGGUAAGUUAUAUGUCCAUAUUUGCAAUAAAAGUUGCAAUUGCUUUGGUGUUGAACAUGUAAGAUAGGACCUUUAAUGAAGGUGGUUGGAUUUUGGUGAGUACUUC